Small nuclear RNA from Parambassis ranga (Indian glassy fish), 165 nucleotides. Its record names the gene U1. It matches the Rfam family "U1 spliceosomal RNA". From Rfam's summary of the family: U1 is a small nuclear RNA (snRNA) component of the spliceosome (involved in pre-mRNA splicing). Its 5' end forms complementary base pairs with the 5' splice junction, thus defining the 5' donor site of an intron. The record is from Ensembl. Lineage: Eukaryota; Metazoa; Chordata; Actinopteri; Ambassidae.
AUACUUACCUGGCAGGGGAGAUACCAUGAUCAAGAAGGUGGUUCACCCAGGGCGAGGCUCAGCCAUUGCACUCCAGGUUGUGCUGACCCCUGCGAAUUCCCCAAAUGUGGGAAUCUCGACUGCAUAAUUUCUGGUAGUGGGGGACUGCGUUCGCACUCUGUCCAG